This 470-nucleotide ribosomal RNA is filed under the name uncultured bacterium. Its description in RNAcentral is "bacterial SSU rRNA". It matches the Rfam family "Bacterial small subunit ribosomal RNA", at positions 355 to 825 of the family's 1533-position model. The record is from RNAcentral.
UGGGGAAUAUUGGACAAUGGGCGAAAGCCUGAUCCAGCCAUGCCGCGUGUGUGAAGAAGGUCUUCGGAUUGUAAAGCACUUUAAGUUGGGAGGAAGGGCAGUUACCUAAUACGUAUCUGUUUUGACGUUACCGACAGAAUAAGCACCGGCUAACUCUGUGCCAGCAGCCGCGGUAAUACAGAGGGUGCAAGCGUUAAUCGGAAUUACUGGGCGUAAAGCGCGCGUAGGUGGUUUGUUAAGUUGGAUGUGAAAUCCCCGGGCUCAACCUGGGAACUGCAUCAAAACUGCAAGCUAGAGUAUGGUAGAGGGUGGUGGAAUUUCCUGUGUAGCGGUGAAAUGCGUAGAUAUAGGAAGGAACACCAGUGGCGAAGGCGACCACCUGGACUGAUACUGACACUGAGGUGCGAAAGCGUGGGGAGCAAACAGGAUUAGAUACCCGAGUAGUCCCUGAGCGGGCUGGCAAGGCGCAU